AAAUUGCACGCCGCCGUACGUAAGGAUAAUAUCUUCAAGGACAAGUGCAAAUAGUCUACUGGCACAUAAGUGGGGACAGUGACCCUACACAGAAAGGAACCGUGUGCCACGAGGUGAGGUGUAGAGAUGAAAGAGGAAGAAGAGGGGAAAAAAAGCCCUCUGAAGUCUCCUGUCUUCCCAUCCUGCCUUGAGAGCAUCCUGCCCGUCUCGCCCCGGAGCAGGAGAAGGACAGACAAUGAAAUGAGGUCCUGGGGCUUCCCCCCCAUACCAUGGGGCAUUUCCCGGCAGCGCGUGGACAGGUUGAGGAUGGCCGUGG
This is a long non-coding RNA of Thunnus maccoyii (southern bluefin tuna), 316 nucleotides long. RefSeq lists it as uncharacterized. The transcript has 3 exons. Lineage: Eukaryota; Metazoa; Chordata; Actinopteri; Scombriformes; Scombridae. The record is from RefSeq and is a predicted model, not a curated record.